This is a long non-coding RNA of Polypterus senegalus (gray bichir), 474 nucleotides long. RefSeq lists it as uncharacterized. Lineage: Eukaryota; Metazoa; Chordata; Cladistia; Polypteriformes; Polypteridae. The transcript has 4 exons. The record is from RefSeq and is a predicted model, not a curated record.
GUAAUGUAUAAAGAUGCCUCACGCAUGUGCUGCAUGGGAUUGUAUAAACCGCUGUACGCUCCAAACCAGAUCAAGGGGGAUUACAUUUCACAGGGCGCAGACUCGGCCUUCCACGCCCCUGGCCUUCCAAACCUCCUGCCUUCCACAGUCUGUCUCACAAACGCCCAUAGUCCAUAGAAAGAGAAGGAGAACGGCUCCUGUACAGUUUUUCCAGUUCAAUAAAGAAAAGGAGCUGAAAAUGUUUUCCAACAUGGAACAAUGGCACAACAGAAGCAGUCACAUUUCUCCAUAAAGGCAGAGAAUAUAAAACCAACUUUGAUUACAUUGAUUAAAUAUCAAAAUGAGUCCAAGUGCCCUGUUUGUAAAAAGCAAAGAGACUACAGCAUCCUGCUCCCUGCCUUCAGAGUCAUGAAGGCCACAUUGUCAAGUAUGCAGGCCGUGAUCUUCAGCUCUCUCUGGAACAGUUCGCAGCUG